UCCUUUUGAGAAAAAUUUAAGGUUUAACCUGCCCAAUGAUUAAUUUAAUGGCCGCAGUAUUUUGACUGUGCUAAGGUAGCAUAAUCAUUAGUUUUUUAAUUGAAAGCUGGAAUGAAGGGUUGAAUGAGAAAAUAACUGUCUCUUAUAAAUUUUAUUAGAAUUUUAUUUUUAAGUUAAAAAGCUUAAAUUUAUUUAAAAGACGAGAAGACCCUAUAGAGUUUAAUAUAAUUGAUUUAAUUUAAAGUAAAGAAUUUAGUUUUUAAUUAAAUUUUUAUAUUUAAUUGGGGUGAUUAAAAAAUUAAAUUAACUUUUUUUAUAUUAUUAUAUGAAUUAAUAAUUAUUUGAUCCAAAUAUUUUGAUUAUAAGAAUAAAUUACCUUAGGGAUAACAGCGUAAUUUUAUUAGAGAGUUCUUAUCGAUAAUAGAGAUUGCGACCUCGAUGUUGGAUUAAAA
RNAcentral lists this ribosomal RNA (452 nucleotides) under Psylliodes brettinghami. RNAcentral describes it as "partial 16S ribosomal RNA". Lineage: Eukaryota; Metazoa; Arthropoda; Insecta; Coleoptera; Chrysomelidae. The record is from RNAcentral.